RNAcentral lists this ribosomal RNA (250 nucleotides) under uncultured bacterium. Its description in RNAcentral is "partial 16S ribosomal RNA". It matches the Rfam family "Bacterial small subunit ribosomal RNA", at positions 524 to 773 of the family's 1533-position model. The record is from RNAcentral.
UACGGAGGGUGCAAGCAUUAAUCGGAUUUAUUGGGCGUAAAGGGCGUGUAGGCGGCAGAGUAAGUCAGAUGUGAAAUCUUGGGGCUUAACCUCAAAAUAGCAUUUGAAACUACUCAGCUAGAGGGUAGAAGGGGAAAACAGAAUUCCACAAGUAGCGGUGAAAUGCGUAGAUAUGUGGAGGAAUACCGGUGGCGAAGGCGGUUUUCUAUUUUAUUCCUGACGCUGAGGCGCGAAAGCAAGGGGAGCAAAC